CGUAGGGUGCGAGCGUUGUCCGGAAUUAUUGGGCGUAAAGGGCUCGUAGGCGGUUUGUCGCGUCGGGAGUGAAAACUCGGAGCUUAACUCCGAGCCUGCUUCCGAUACGGGCAGACUAGAGGUAUGCAGGGGAGAACGGAAUUCCUGGUGUAGCGGUGAAAUGCGCAGAUAUCAGGAGGAACACCGGUGGCGAAGGCGGUUCUCUGGGCAUUACCUGACGCUGAGGAGCGAAAGUGUGGGGAGCGAACAGGAUUAGAUACCCUGGUAGUCCACACCGUAAACGUUGGGCGCUAAGGUGUGGGGACACAUUCCACGUGUUCCGUGCCGCAGCUAACGCAUUAAGCGCCCCGCCUGGGGAGUACGGCCGCAAGGCUAA
RNAcentral lists this ribosomal RNA (376 nucleotides) under uncultured organism. RNAcentral describes it as "bacterial SSU rRNA". It matches the Rfam family "Bacterial small subunit ribosomal RNA", at positions 526 to 897 of the family's 1533-position model. The record is from RNAcentral.